AGUCGUAACAAGGUUUCCGUAGGAAUAUCCUUCUCUAGUGAAGCCUUGGAUAUGCGCAACUAUAAACAAUGCUAACACAGCCCUGAAUUUCAAUUUUAUGGGCGACGUCACAUAAAUGCUGGGAGCCUUUAACAAUAAGAGUAUCAGCAGCCAAAUCUAUGUUUGGUCCACAGAUUAAAUGGUGACGGUCAAAUGGUAGAAAAUUCUUGGUUGAUAAGCACAUGCAUUCAUAUCCACCAAGCUCUUUGUUUGAUUAAGAUAUAAUCGGUCUACCGUUCUAAAGCGGUGAGAGAAACGUUCCGUAGGUGAACCUGCGGAAGGAUCAUUAUCGAGUUAGGGUCUCCUGGGCCCCAUCUCCGACUCUUGUCUACCUUAAUACGUUGUUUGACGGGCCCGCGCCCGUCAACGACCACUUUUAAACUCUUGCAACCAUGUCUAAACAAAAUUAAAUUAUUAAAACUUUCAACAACGGAUCUCUUGGUUCUGGCAUCGAUGAAGAACGCAGCGAAAUGCGAUAAGUAAUGCGAAUUGCAGAAUUCCGUGAGUCAUCGAAUCUUUGAACGCACAUUGCGCCCUUUGGUAUUCCGAAGGGCAUGCCUGUUCGAGCGUCAUUAUCAACCCUCAAGCCCGGCUUGUCGUUGGAUCCCAUCGUCGGCGACGGCGGUGGAUCCGAAAGAUAAUGGCAGAGUCAGUGGGACCCUGAAUGCAGCGAGCUUCUCAGCAUGCAUCUCCACGGUCUCCCGGCUCGGUCUUAACCAAUUCACUUCAUCUGGUUGACCUCGGAUCAGGUAGGAAUACCCGCUGAACUUAAGCAUAUCAAUAAGCGGAGGAAAAGAAACCAACAGGGAUUGCCUCAGUGACGGCGAGUGAAGCGGCAACAGCUCAAAUUUGAAAUCUGGCUCCUUUGGGGGUCCGAGUUGUAAUUUGUAGAGGAUGCUUCGGGCAAGGCUGCGGUCUAAUUCGCUAGGAACAGCGAGUCAUAGAGGGUGAGAGUCCCGUCUAGGAUCGUGCGCCGCGUCCAUGUGAAGCUCCUUCGACGAGUCGAGUUGUUUGGGAAUGCAGCUCUAAAUGGGUGGUAAAUUUCAUCUAAAGCUAAAUAUUGGCCAGAGACCGAUAGCGCACAAGUAGAGUGAUCGAAAGAUGAAAAGCACUUUGAAAAGAGAGUUAAACAGUAUGUGAAAUUGUUGAAAGGGAAGCGCUUGCAACCAGACUUGCGAGUGUGACGGUUCCCCCGACCUUCUGGUCGGGCUACUCCGUCCUCUCCAGGCCAGCAUCGGUUUGGGUGGUCGGUCAAAGACCCCGGGAAUGUAUCCACCUCCGGGUCGACUUAUAGCCCGGGGUGCAAUGCGACCCACCCGGACCGAGGAACGCGCUCCGGCUCGGAUGCUGGCGUAAUGGUUGUAAGCGGCC
This 1410-nucleotide ribosomal RNA is filed under the name uncultured fungus. RNAcentral describes it as "eukaryotic LSU rRNA". The stretch from base 775 to 1410 matches the Rfam family "Eukaryotic large subunit ribosomal RNA", at positions 1 to 649 of the family's 3401-position model. Lineage: Eukaryota; Fungi. The record is from RNAcentral.